RNAcentral lists this microRNA precursor (145 nucleotides) under Gossypium hirsutum (cotton). RNAcentral's name for it is "MIR7502 microRNA precursor family". It matches the Rfam family "MIR7502 microRNA precursor family". Lineage: Eukaryota; Viridiplantae; Streptophyta; Magnoliopsida; Malvales; Malvaceae. The record is from Rfam by way of RNAcentral.
UGUUAAAAUUUUCAUCUAUUUCUACUGUUAAUAACUAGCAUGACUGACAGAAUAACCAAAGAGUGACAUGUGUCGUGCCACUUAUACCUCAUACUGACGUACUGAGGCUAGUUUUUAUAAAUGAAAAUAAAUGAAAUUCUUAACA